RNAcentral lists this microRNA precursor (199 nucleotides) under Paramuricea clavata. The record is from RNAcentral. Lineage: Eukaryota; Metazoa; Cnidaria; Anthozoa; Malacalcyonacea; Plexauridae.
GUUAAGGAGGCUGUCAAGUCCGUUCUGCUCAUGCGCGUGUUUUGUUUACAUUUUUUCUUUCAAAAAAUAGAUAAUUUAUUUAAAAUUCCGAUCUGUGGGUCCACAGAUCGGAAUUUUAAAAUUAUCUAUUAAUUGUUUGAAACAAAAAAUGUAAACAAAACAAACGCAUGAGCAGAACGGACUUGACAGCCUCUUUAAU